RNAcentral lists this ribosomal RNA (241 nucleotides) under uncultured bacterium. RNAcentral describes it as "partial 16S ribosomal RNA". It matches the Rfam family "Bacterial small subunit ribosomal RNA", at positions 524 to 765 of the family's 1533-position model. The record is from RNAcentral.
UACGGAGGGGGUUAGCGUUGUUCGGAAUUACUGGGCGUAAAGCGUACGUAGGCGGAUUAAUAAGUUAGAGGUGAAAUCCCAGGGCUCAACCUGGAACUGCCUUUAAAACUGUUAGUCUUGAGAUCGAGAGAGGUGAGUGGAAUUCCAAGUGUAGAGGUGAAAUUCGUAGAUAUUUGGAGGAACACCAGUGGCGAAGGCGACUCCCUGGCCAAAGACUGACGCUCAUGUGCGAAAGUGUGGG